UGGGGAAUAUUGCACAAUGGGCGCAAGCCUGAUGCAGCCAUGCCGCGUGUGUGAAGAAGGCCUUCGGGUUGUAAAGCACUUUCAGCGGGGAGGAAGGCGGUGAGGUUAAUAACCUCAUCGAUUGACGUUACCCGCAGAAGAAGCACCGGCUAACUCCGUGCCAGCAGCCGCGGUAAUACGGAGGGUGCAAGCGUUAAUCGGAAUUACUGGGCGUAAAGCGCACGCAGGCGGUCUGUCAAGUCGGAUGUGAAAUCCCCGGGCUCAACCUGGGAACUGCAUUCGAAACUGGCAGGCUAGAGUCUUGUAGAGGGGGGUAGAAAUCCAGGUGUAGCGGUGAAAUGCGUAGAGAUCUGGAGGAAUACCGGUGGCGAAGGCGGCCCCCUGGACAAAGACUGACGCUCAGGUGCGAAAGCGUGGGGAGCAAACAGG
Molecule: ribosomal RNA, 429 nt
Filed under: Chloroflexota bacterium
Lineage: Bacteria; Bacillati; Chloroflexota
Description: Chloroflexi bacterium partial 16S ribosomal RNA
Rfam family: Bacterial small subunit ribosomal RNA
Source: RNAcentral